Molecule: ribosomal RNA, 301 nt
Filed under: uncultured bacterium
Lineage: Bacteria
Description: partial 16S ribosomal RNA
Rfam family: Bacterial small subunit ribosomal RNA
Source: RNAcentral
CAGUAGCCGCGGUAAUACGUAGGUGGCAAGCGUUGUCCGGAAUUAUUGGGCGUAAAGGGCUCGCAGGCGGUUUCUUAAGUCUGAUGUGAAAGCCCCCGGCUCAACCGGGGAGGGUCAUUGGAAACUGGGAAACUUGAGUGCAGAAGAGGAGAGUGGAAUUCCACGUGUAGCGGUGAAAUGCGUAGAGAUGUGGAGGAACACCAGUGGCGAAGGCGACUCUCUGGUCUGUAGCUGACGCUGAGGAGCGAAAGCGUGGGGAGCGAACAAGAUUAGAUACCCCAGUAGUCCCUGUCUCUUAUAA